ACCGUCCACCUAACAUUGGAUGGGCCGUGAGUUUGUUUACCCGUCUAUGUAAUAAAAAUAUAUUAAUAAACAAGAAUUAGAUUAUGAAAUGUGGAACAGCGAGAGAAAAAAUACAAAUUUGCUUCGGAAACAAGACUAAUCCUGUAUAAUGAAAACGAAAUGGAAAUACAAUAACUUAGAAGCGUCCGUAACUUAUAGGGUAUAGGAGGAAGAGAGGAAUAUAUUCGCGCGCACUACCACGAUUAAUACAGUUUUAGAAAACGCAAUGUAGAUGAUGAACUCGGCGGCUCUAAGAAACAAAGAUAAACUCUGCACCGGUAGGGUGGUUGUAAAAUGGAGAUGACAAGAACAUUUUACGUCAGAAGCAUUUUCCCAGAGAAUUUCCCGUGGAACAAGCGACAUAAAAUACAGAGAGAACCAAAGAUCCUUCUUGGAACAAAUGUUCAAAAAGAUCGCAUGCGAAGAGAUCGUACGUGUACAUGAAGAGUGAUAUCGCCUUUAUUCUAAUAUAGCUGAAAAUUUGUCCUAGUCGUGGGCCGUCCCUGGGCCGCCCCAGUGUCCUAGUGCUGGGCCGUGAAUUCAUUAUCACAUUAAACAGUAAAAUAAAAACAUA
Long non-coding RNA from Bombyx mori (domestic silkworm), 613 nucleotides. RefSeq lists it as uncharacterized. Lineage: Eukaryota; Metazoa; Arthropoda; Insecta; Lepidoptera; Bombycidae. The record is from RefSeq and is a predicted model, not a curated record. The transcript is spliced from 2 exons.